GGAGAGAGAGAGAGAGAGAGAGAGAGAGAGAGAGAGAGAGAGAGAGAGAGAGAGAGAGAGAGAGAGAGAGAGGAAAGAUUCAAAUUGCAUACUCUUCUCAUCUUCCUCUCAAAACUCAUUGGAGGAAAUGAUCCAGGAUCUCACGCUCUCUCAUCCAAUGGCUUUUGAGAAGUAAACGAGCAGAGAGGAAGCGAAGGAGUACGCAAUUGAGAUCUUUACAGAGGGAGAAAGAGAGCUAUGUCUAAAAUGAAAGUUCAUCAUUUUUAGUUUUAAAGUGUUGUGUAUGUAUCAUUUCUGCCAAUGACAUAUAAUAGACAACUCUGUAAAGAUCUGUAUAUGAGAACUUCCAGCAGUGAAUGGCGUAUGUGUCCCUUCGACCUACUAAGAGAUAGUAGGAGACUGCAGCAGGCAGCGUCUGGUUCAGAAAGCUGUGUGUUUGCGCAUGUCAGAUAGCUGGCCUGAGCUCCGGGUUGCCUGCCUGUUGGGAAAACCAUCUCUCACAUGCCCGCUCUGCUGUCGUCACACACCCACGCACACACGCUCAGAUCUCGUCUUAUUCUUUUUCAUCUCUUUCCGUUGCCUUCCACUGUCGCCGUGACGCAUGCCCCCUAACGACCAUGGCUGUAGACUGUUACCAUGGUGCUGUCUCUAGAGUAACAAUCUAAAGCCACGGUCGCCAUGGAGACAGCAGGGAGAUGGAGGAGCGGGAGUUGGCAUGGUAACUGGAGAUGGUGAAGUCCGAUUGGCUGGUGGGUGGAAAUGAUGUGCGCACAUCAGCAUAGGGCUCCCCCAAUUGCAGGCCCACGCAGGCAGGCUUACUCACACACACACAUGCAGACACACAAGACGGAGAGAUAGCGAGGUGGUGCAGGAGAAAGACAAAGAGAAAGAAAGAGAGAGCAUUGUUGAGUUUCCAUGUCCUCUGGAAAGUUGCUAUCAUAGCAUACCAUACUCGGACAUUACUGAGACAUUACCGGCACAGACAUUGUUAGGGUCUUCCCAUAACCUUAGUUGCCAAUGCCAUACCAUUGUCAUGGUGUUAGUUAACCCUUUACCCCAGACUACAGUUUCCAUGGCAGCACUUCCAGGGUGGUGUCUCUGGGACAGGUAGUGUGUUACCACGGUGAGUUGCCAGGCGUCAGUAGCCAUGACUGUAGACUGUUACUGUAACUGUGAGACUGUUUCAAGCAGUAAGCAGUCUAAAGCCAAGGUGCUGAUGCUCUGGCUGUCAUGGGUCAGUGGUCGUAACCAUGGUAACCAGAAAGAGGAGGAGGAAGACAACGGACUGGAUAUAUAACACUGCACCUGCAAUGAAAAGAAGAGAAGACUUCAUAGUGUUAAGAGGUUAAUUAAUAAGACAUGGAUCUAAAUGAAUUCAAGUGUAUACAUUACAGAGACCCUAUUCCGUAUAUAGUGCACUACUUUUGACCAGUGCCCUAUGCCAUUUGGGAUGCAGUCUUAAUGUGAGGCUUUCUUCCUGUGUAGUUCCCUGGUACCAUUAUGUUAACCAGGACAGCAUGACGGUCAGCGUCCCAGUAUGUAGAUGUUUAUCUGGCAAUGGGAACGGUUAGAGACAUUCAAAAAGGAAUGCGUCUUAUUUUUGAGAGAAAUCUUCAUUAAAUAUCAAGCAAAACUAUGACUAUCCCCAUGUCUCUGGCUCUCUCUCGCUGAUGACCUGGUUCUCGUGUGUGUGUGUGUGGUACAGUAUUGAUUAAACCCAGGCUUAUCGCAUAUCUGCGAUAUUCCCCAUGGAGACCAUGUUCUGUCUGAGAGAGAGAGCGAGAGGGAGAGGGAGGGAGAAGGGGGUGGGGGUUCUUAAUGUGUCUCCCUGCUACCCUGCAUUGACGUACUGGAUAGGAUGAGGCACUCAACUGUUACACAUCACUGGAUCUAAAGAGGUUACACUUCUGAUUACGUGGGCGAGCAACAGGAAGUAAAGAAAAAGAGAGCGAUCCCAAACAUUAUCAUACAAUUCAAAUCACUGAUACAUCUUGACAUUUGGGAAAGAAGUAUACCUAUUUAGUACUCUCUCUCUUUCUCUCACACUCACACUCUCUCUCUUUCUCUCACACUCUCUCUCUUUUGCUCUCUCAUCUGCAUGCCUGUCAGAUUAUAAUUUAUAUCUCUCUCUCUCUCUCACCUGCAUGCAUGCCAGACUAUAAUCCCUAUAAUGCCUGAGCUGGUGUUAGAUCUUGUCACUCAGCCCCUCUAACCCCGGCGAGAUGUACCGGAUUAAACGAGUCCCGGCAGCUCUGGCUGACUCAGUGACUCACUGACCGAGUCUGGAGGCCAGUUUAUUAAAGCUACAGACACCGCAUGCAGUGUUCAUUGUCUUUCGAGCACUUUUCUCGGGGGUUUCACAACUUGAUGAGAAAUUCCUCAAAUAACAACUAUAAAGUUACACGUUUAUUUUAGAAUCACUAAAGUUACGUUUCUUUACGUACUUUUAUUGAAGCCCUUCGUAAACUAGAGCUCUUUCUCUGCCGCUUAUUUCAGCACCACGGGGAAAGGGACAGUGCCAGCAGCAGAAUGGAUCGUUUGCCGAUUUGCUAGCUACCAAUCUGUUUUUUACUAUAGUCAACGAUGUAGCAUUGUUGAAUGGCAAACAGCCCAUCAGCUAUGGUACGAAACUGCAAAAAACGCCAACUAAUGAAAUGUUGGGGAAGCUAUUAGCUUCCCCAACUGUGUCAACAUUUCUGUGUGGCUUUAAUUAAGAAAUCAUAUUAUAUUAUGCUUUUGAAAUUGAGUGAACUGGCAGAGUCACCAUAUUGUUGGGCCGGAACAGCCGCUAGUGUGUUCUAUGUCACACGAUGCAUGCACAUUCAAUAUCUGAGGAGUGAGCCAAUUUCAGAUGCAGGUGCAAAACGUUGGGAGUUGUCCAUAAAGUUGCACAUUUCCUGUAUAAUCACUUCUGCCUAUUCCAGUACCACGCAGAAAGUGAAAGAGGCAGAGAGGGACAUUAACGGUGGUGCUGUCCAUGGGACUGAACUGGCUAAAAGUCUGUUUCAAAUGUAGCCAGCUUGUCAACUUGGCAAAUAAUCAACCAUGUAACGUUGUUGAAUGCCGAAAUCUGAGUCUGGUAAUCAGGCUAUGGUCCUAGGCUACCGUUCUGUAUUACCUGGGGUUCACUAGCUGUCCUCUGAUAUUUUGACAUCUCAAAAUGUAAAUUCUUCUACAGGAUAUUCUCUCUAUACAAGCUAGGCUAGACUUGCUCUGCUAGUUGGCCUAUCAGUGUCUAGCCAACUGAUGCUGUAGCCUACAUUCAGCAAAGAGUAGUAUGUACAGCUUCUGUGUGCCUGUUAACAUUUAUAAUCUACUCCUCCACCUUCACUGCAAUAACAGCUAAGACUAAACAAUGAUUAACCAACUACAUCGCGCUAACUACCUCCCGAGCACAUUGUUGUUAAGCAGUGUUUGUGUUUUAGCUAACUACAGUGCAUUCGGAAAGCAUUCAGACCCCUUGACGUUUUCCACAUUUUGUUACGUUACAGCCUUACUCUAAAAUAGAUUAAAUCGUUUUUCCCCCCUCAUCAAUCUACGCAACUUUUUUGCGUGUAAAU
Molecule: long non-coding RNA, 3560 nt
Organism: Oncorhynchus tshawytscha (Chinook salmon)
Lineage: Eukaryota; Metazoa; Chordata; Actinopteri; Salmoniformes; Salmonidae
Source: Ensembl